This is a long non-coding RNA of Bos taurus (domestic cattle), 2138 nucleotides long. Lineage: Eukaryota; Metazoa; Chordata; Mammalia; Artiodactyla; Bovidae. The record is from Ensembl.
AGCGGACUGGUAGCUAGAGGCCAAGUCAGGAUGUAGGCGCAGGGUGGAAGACACUUUCUGAAAGGCCCAGGAGACCAGAAGAGUGAGGAGAGCCUGCUAGAGGAGUCCCAUCAGUUGAGGGCUUUCACGCUCCUUCUCACCGGUUACAGCUUUGGCCAAAUGAAAUCAGUCACUUUGUGUGGAGUGCCUUUGAAGCUGAACUGUUCUCCCCUCACCAGGCUUUCUCCUCUAGCCUUGCUGGUUUCUUCCACAGCCCCAGCAGCCUCCCAUCUCAGAGGCCUAACCUCAGUCAAGUCCUGCUGACCCUUCCUACAUGAUGGUUUUCAUAGCCUGCACACGAAGAGCUGGAGGAGCCGUCUCCCCAAGUCCACACAGCAGUGGGUAGUUGCAGCACAACUCGCCUGGUCUCCAGCCCACUCCAGCCCUCUGCUGGGACCCCUGCAAAGCCAGAGGCAGAGGAGCUGGAAGGAGGAGGAGGAGGUAGGGGGAGGGUGGGGGAGAAGCAGUGAGUAAUGGUCGGCUUCCCCAGUCAGCCAGAAAAAAAUAGGGCAAGCUCAGCUUGCGGAAGCACCCAGCACAGCAUCCGCCACGUGAUCAGCCAGAGGCGGAGACCGCGCAGGGGGCCUCUUCCUAUAAACAAGCCCAUUGCCUUGUGGUAAAAACACGAGGGGGCAGUGUUUCUGGUUUCCUGGAAGGCAGCCCGGAGGCCACUGCCAUUUUUGCAUCUUUUUGCGUUAUCACAUUGACUUGGGGGAGUUGGACACAGUUUGUUGGGCUGUAUAGGAAAACACAGUAGCCAAGCCUUCCAAACAGGGCGCUUUUGUCCACAGCUGACACCCUGGCCGGGAGCCCAGCUCAGCCUCAGCGAAGAUUUAGGUCAGAAGGAAAAUGGCGGGGUGGGGGGUAGGGGGGUGGCUGCAGCCUUCGUAUCUGGCCUAGCAAGAUGGAGACGGUUCCCACGGUCACACCUGUGCUCCUCCGGCAGGCGCAUGGGGCGGCUGGCCUUUCCUCCGCCAGCACUGCGGCCUCUAGGAGGAGAUGUGGGUAGGCCGCAUCGGCCCUGCAAAAGAGCUAUUUGGCAAAUUCCUAUUGUGCUGGAAAUUCCCCAUUUUGCCAUUUCGUUCAGUUGUCACCACUUCCCAGUUAGCUCAAGUCAAAAGCUCUUCUCUUACCUGUUGGGAGUGUGCAGACCUGUGAGGAGGAGGAAUUGUGACCCAAGAGAAGCUUCCGGUCAGCUGUGGAGGUGGCCAGGGAGCCGGGAACCAUUUCCAAAGCAAGUAAGCUUCAAGAGGCAAAAAAGCACGUCGUCCUGAGUCACGGAGACUUUGAGGGCUGUGCCUGCUUUAUAGGAAGUUCAUUUUCCACAGUGUUUUCCCCAUUCAAAGGAGAGUUUUAGAGGACCUGCCCUUUAACCACUUGCUGCCAUGCUCCCCCUGAAACACCCUUUCAAAAAGGCUCCUUUUCACGGGGAUCAACACCAGAACCUAUCCCGAAGUUCUUGUCGCCCAUGCGCAUUUAUGGGGUUGGCAAAUAGGCUUCAGGUGCCCGCAUCUUUUGUUAAAAAAGGGUCACCUGCCUAGGCCUGGCGCCUGGCUGCAUUGCGAAGCUCGCUUGCUGGCCUCGCCCGCCAUCUUCUGGAUGAAGGUAGAACUGCUGCCAGCGAAAGGCUAUUUGGACAGAAGAUGCUUCAGGGCAAACUUGAAAACCAACCAAGGAGGGCCCAUGAAAAAGAACUACUUUUGAAUUCCCAGAAAACUUUCACGGACUUCAUUUUCAACAGCAAAGAUGUGUGUAAAGAUACAUCUCUUUGUUAUUUUUUUAAAUCAUUCCCAGUGUGUCUUGCCUCACUUAUUACCAAACAAGCAUGCAUUUGAACCCCGGCUAUGAGCCAGAGGCCAUGCUAGGUGCUGGGGGCAGAUGAAUCACACAGUCUCUGUUUUAAAAGAAAGCCUGGAGUCUUUUCGUAGGAACCUAAAACUUCUCCUUAAAAUUCAAUUUAGAAAAUAAAAAGUCUGGAGUCUCUUUGGACAAACCAAAAAUUUCUCUAUAAGAUUAAUUAAAAAAACACCUAAAGUCCAGAGGUCCAGAAACCUGUGACCCAAGGGUAACAUUGCAAUGUGAUCAGUGCCAUUAGGGGG